GAUGAAGAACGUAGCGAAAUGCGAUACGUAAUGUGAAUUGCAGAAUCCAGUGAAUCAUCGAAUCUUUGAACGCACAUUGCGCCCGCCAGUAUUCUGGCGGGCAUGCCUGUUCGAGCGUCAUUUCAACCAUCAAGCCCCCGGCUUGUGUUGGGGACCUGCGGCUGCCGCAGGCCCUGAAAACCAGUGGCGGGCUCGCUAGUCACUCCGAGCGUAGUAAUACAUCUCGCUCAGGGCGUGCUGCGGGUUCCGGCCGUUAAAAAGCCUUAUUUACCCAAGGUUGACCUCGGAUCAGGUAGGAAGACCCGCUGAACUUAAGCAUAUCAAUAAGCGGAGGA
RNAcentral lists this unclassified non-coding RNA (335 nucleotides) under soil metagenome. Its description in RNAcentral is "partial contains 5.8S ribosomal RNA, internal transcribed spacer 2, and large subunit ribosomal RNA". The stretch from base 1 to 120 matches the Rfam family "5.8S ribosomal RNA", at positions 35 to 154 of the family's 154-position model. The record is from RNAcentral.